Molecule: non-coding RNA, 31 nt
Filed under: Mus musculus (house mouse)
Lineage: Eukaryota; Metazoa; Chordata; Mammalia; Rodentia; Muridae
Source: RNAcentral
UAAAAGAAACAUUGAUGAUGUUAACUCUAGC